UUGAUUCUCCUUUCGACAUAGCAACUGGAUCUGGAUUGGUUGACACGCUUCACGUUCUCGGCUUGCCAUUGGCUGAGAGUCUGGCCUAAACGCGGAGGAAUCGGACGGAGACAGAGAGGAGGAGUGACAUGAUUGGACGUGGCCGGCGCAGAAUGCCUAAAGCUAAACCUAUUUUCCUGAAAGCCUUGAGGGAGUCGGGGGGCCCAUCUGAGUGGUCCUCGUCAUGGGACCUUUUCACCAGCUCUUUGCUGACACAGUAUGUCCUCCGGUGCCUUCCGUGUCUGCCGAACCAACCCGGGCCAGAGCUUGUUGGAAUACAAUGGCUACCGCUACAUAAAGGUACAAAUGGCCGAAACCUCCUACCCGCAUGUCCAAAUUUGGUCAAUUUCAUAUUUUUACAAAUCUGAACUGCUG
Molecule: long non-coding RNA, 414 nt
Organism: Syngnathus acus (greater pipefish)
Lineage: Eukaryota; Metazoa; Chordata; Actinopteri; Syngnathiformes; Syngnathidae
Exons: 3
Source: RefSeq, a predicted model, not a curated record